RNAcentral lists this ribosomal RNA (491 nucleotides) under uncultured bacterium. RNAcentral describes it as "bacterial SSU rRNA". It matches the Rfam family "Bacterial small subunit ribosomal RNA", at positions 28 to 507 of the family's 1533-position model. The record is from RNAcentral.
GACGAACGCUGGCGGCGUGCUUAACACAUGCAAGUCGAACGGACGAGUGAGAUAAGUUUACUUAACUCACAAGUUAGUGGCGGACGGGUGAGUAACACGUGGAUAAUCUACCUGCAACACCGGGAUAACGCUGUGAAAACGGUGCUAAUACCGGAUACGUUCCCUUGUGCGCAUGUAUGAGGGAAGAAAGCUCAGGCGGUUGCAGAUGAGUCCGCGGCUGAUUAGCUAGUUGGUGAGGUAAAGGCUCACCAAGGCGAUGAUCAGUAGCCGGCCUGAGAGGGUGAACGGCCACACUGGGACUGAGACACGGCCCAGACUCCUACGGGAGGCAGCAGUGGGGAAUCUUCCGCAAUGGGCGCAAGCCUGACGGAGCAACGCCGCGUGGGUGAUGAAGUCCUUCGGGAUGUAAACUCCAAUAGUUUGCCAGGAAGCAACCUGGCCUAAUACGUCGGGAAGUUGACCAGCAGACGAAAGGGGCGGCUAACUCCGUG